This 4766-nucleotide ribosomal RNA is filed under the name Triticum aestivum (bread wheat). RNAcentral describes it as "partial small subunit ribosomal RNA". Lineage: Eukaryota; Viridiplantae; Streptophyta; Magnoliopsida; Poales; Poaceae. The record is from RNAcentral.
UUUUUUUGGGCUCACUGGGUAGACGGAAUAGGGAUUGGGCGAGAGCAGAGGGAGGGAUCCUGCGUCGGCGGGUGGCUUAGUUUAGAGCAGCGGCCCGAGCAGACGGAGCGGCACCGGCUACUUACGCAGCCGACGCCGGUGCGGGGGAGAGGUUUGCCGUCGCUACUACCUCCCUCGUCGAGUGCGACCGGUCCGAGGGCUGGCUUGCGCAGCUCAGUAGAGAGGAGUCCCGGUUGGGGAGGAUAAGUAGCGUAGAGAGGGACUGAGGCAGAGGAGGUGCUAUACAUCGUGGUGGGGUGCGGUACCUGCGGGAACGGUCGACGUAGAGAGGUACGUGGCGGUGAGGAUACUGUGGCGGCGGGCCGUCAGAGGUGGUCGUGGUGCUGCCCGCACCGGAGACGUGCGCGGCAGUGGAGGGGAGGUCUAGGCCGGCAGCAGCUCCCGUAUAGGUAGGUCGUCACGCGGCAGUGGAGGGGAGGUCUAGGUCGGCAGCAGUUACCGCAUAGGUAGGUCGUCGCGUGGCAGUAGGGUUAGUAGUGGCAGGUGCCGCAGUAGCGGGUCCGGGUCAGUCCCCGGCUGUUCUGGAGUUACUAGAGGGAGAAGCAGACGGUCCAGUAACUCUGGUUGCAGGUGCUAAGUCACACCAUUAGAUGUCGUUAGUUCAAUUGUUUAGACUUCGUAAAAUCGUUUCGUUGCCACGUUCACGAGAAAACCACCUUCUACUUCGAAAACAACCCGAACACUACAAAAAGACUUCUUCUGACUGCUACUUGAGUUUUCUGUCUAUAUCAUGAUUUACUAAGUCCUGACGGCAUCGAGGUCUUUCCUACCGUGAGAAGUAUAACACUACGUUGCAGUAUUAUGAUCUAACAAAGAUAAACAAGACUACGUUGAAGAUAUUAACGUCCAACGAUGAUGCCCUUAUGGACUACAACGAAGUACAGUCAAUAUAGAAGGUUAUAAAUGUCUUUGAAGGCUUUGACCGUGGUCCAGUCCUGUACGACUACUAUUGGAAGGUCAAAACGAUUUAGUAUCAAUUAACUCAUUAGAGAUGAGGAUUUCACAAGAAGCUUCCACGAGUAGUAGACAGCUAUGUGUUGUGGCGUCAAUAACCACCAAAUGUGUCCUAUCAAAGGUCUGGAAAUAGCGUUCUACCUGCUUGAACCGUAGAGUCGGUCCUGAGACGGAGUAGUUAUCAAACUACAGGUAAACGUACUUCAAUCCGGUCGUAGUCUUAUAGGCAUCGGAAAAACUCCUCUACUUCCACUUCUUAUAAUUCGGCCUAUUGGAGUGUACAAAGGAAGGUUACUGGUCGGCACACCGUAACUUGUUCUAUUUACAACAACCUCUUCAAAAUCUUCUUUACGUUCUUUUCCUACAUCAAGAUCCCACCAUAAGUAUAUCGUACCAAAGAUAGAUGGACUCACGACCAAACCAAAAUUUUUUGUCAGGCGAGAGUUCUUUGAGCUCCCGGAACUAAAAUCUUCCAUUGUAUUUAUAGAUCUAACUAGCAAGUACCAGGACCCCGAGGAAAAAUGUCACUCCACGCGGCAAUCCCGCACGGGACUUAGCUCUCCUUGUUCAUACAAGUGAAAGACAAGCGAAACACAAACGAAAGACAUCAGAGUUUCAUCUCGUUACCAGUGACGUUUAAAAUAGUCUCUUACACGUUGUUUUCGUGCAACUCUUCAAGGACACUCGGGAUUAAUAAAGAACUCUUUCGUUUGAAUAAAUAGGAACGAGAUAAAAAACACAUGAUUCUAACAAGCAAACAUGGGUCGUACACAUGCACUACACGGGACGGCGACACACACGAAGGACGACUACACACACGAAGGACUGCGACAACUCGUACGCACACACACAAGCGACAGCGACAAAUAAUUGUAACAGUACGAGAGGAAUGAAAAACGAAUUGUUAAGUACUAGUUAUGACUUGUAAUAAAAAACUUAUCUACGGUGAACUUGAAUCAAAAUCGAGAGUACAACAAGUUUCUUAGCAGUUCAUUACAAAACGUACCUAAAAUAUUGACUGUGUUACAAAGACUAAAUUACUCUCGGUUGGUACGCAAGGACCGAAGGGGCCGCUACGGUUGUACCGUCCCGUCCUGGGUCACCGGUAGAAGCCGCGGAAGUACCUGAAACAAUCGCGGCUGGAGACGAAGUAGUAGAUGCCGGUGCUGGGGAAACGGCAGCCGUAGUAGACCGUGGAGCCUUACGUUUAAUUUACACAAGUACCUCACCCCACAUUAACACUAAACACGUUACCCAAGUCUCACCUUCCCCGACAGUAAGAACAAAUCGUUCCCGACGUUCAAUAUAGCGAUAUUCGGACUGUACGUCGCCGUUGUUGUCUAAGUCUACACCAUUCGAGUAAGUAAGUAAGAGAGUCCUGUUCUCCUGGUUUAACUAAGUUUAAAACACAAGACUAGAAUUACAACGCUCCAAACGCUAGCGUACAUACCAGCCCUGACGCACCCGGGCCGCUGGUUAACGAACGUAGAGAACGACAUACCACUACUACCUGGCCGAGGACAAUUUAGGUUAUGCUGACGUGAAGAAGCGAAAUCCUUCUUCCAUAGGGGGGAUAUGCUUCUAAAGAUCGAACGGACACACAACUAUUCACGUAAGCCGGUUUGUUAAACACCUGGUUUAUUUGAACAACGUCUAUGUCUUCUUGUUCCGACGUGUGUUCCUCAACGGACUUAACGUCACCGUCGCCACAACAUUAUACAUUACAAAACGUAGUUGAACCAGGUAUAAGAUAGGUAUUCAGAUUACUUAACCGGGAACAAAUAGUCCUUAGUUCGAACACUUCUUUUUAAAGCAAUGAAAUUACUGUGUGUGAACGUCAUUCAGUAAGUCUCUAUAUAAGUCAUGUACGAUCCAACGGUUCGAGUCUCGGUGGACAACAGAGGUACUUAAGCGACUUUCGUUUUUAGUUAACAGGUAUCAGUACACUUUGGAAGAUCUUAAGAAAAAUCAUAAAACGUAACGAACACGUAAAGAAAAAAAUAGUGAAGAUUAUUGGAGUAACUAAGUAAAAAGGAUAGCAGUACAGUCAGGAACGAGAUUUAAAAAACAAUUAUACAACGUGAAGAACACGUAAAGGUAAAAAUAGUGAAGAUUAUUAGAGUAACUGACAAAUGUAGAGUGGCACAAAUGGUUCUUGUGCUCACUAUUAAAACAAAAUAUUAUUAUGUUAUCACUGUUAAAAUAAAAUAAAAUAAAAGAUUGUAUCAAGAGUUAAUCCGAAUGUUUAUAAAAUGUAACCGUCAUCAAGACAGUAGUUCGAAUACACAUUACAUAAGGAAUCUUACCACAAAGUCGGUAAAGAUACAUCCACCGUACACACUACCGUGCAUAAAGUCGGUAUAGCUGAAUCCACCGUACACACGACCGUGUUCUUUUCCUUCCGGGACUUGACUUUCCUCGUUGUAUAUAAUUACUUUACGGGACUUAAUUCACACACUCUCUCUCUCUCAAGUUAAAUUAAACAGACCAAAUUUAUAAAUACUCAUUAAAUUAAACAAACUGGAACUCACAACUGAACGAAAAGUCAACAGUUGUUACAGGUAAAACGACUUACAUGAACGAAUAGGAAGAUGACCUGAUGGUAACUAAGUGACACGUGUAUGUGAAAGGUUAAGACAGACAAAUGAUAGAAAACAAUAAUAAACAGAACUAUUGAACUACGAAAGAAGGAACCAUCAAAUUAGAAUUGUCAAGGUGUAGGGUGUAGCUUGGAAGAUCUGAGCAGGUUCACUGGUAAACGUUGUAGGAAAAGACCAGUUAGACCUAAUAAAGUUCCAAAAGUAGUGAGACCAGACGUGUUGUAAGUACCUUUAAUAUCAGAAGGUUUUAUAAGGACCUAGUGAACGUUUUUCCUUACUACACUUCUCAUCCCAAGGUAGUAGACCCCAGGUUGUUGGGUCUCCCUCGUAAAGACCCUCUAAACGAUGUUUGUCGGAAGGACAACAGUAAGAGUCUAAGGAGUACGUGUAAGUCCACAGUCACCAUCUCAUUACUUACAACCACCUCCAGUUCGUAAAUCUUCACCUUACUUAUACCCACCAUGGUAAGUUCCAAAUAGGAGUUUGAACCGGUGGUCACCAUUAGCUUUAAUACAAGGACCUUUGGGUCGAAACCCAGGUGCAUAAUGUUUGUAACACACGUCUUCAUUGUAACCUUAUUUAUAUUCGAGACCACCCAACAGCCACGGCUAAUAGAGUAGUGUGUAGCUAAAAUCCCAGUUACGACGUUCACCUUCUGCUUUACACGUUCCUAGGUACUACUUACCGGAAUAAGACGUUCCAUACGGACUACCUCGCUAACCCAACUACGACUUCGACUAUAUGAGGGGAUUCAACGAGGUUAGCCCUUACGUCUAUAUGAAGGCACUCAACGAGGGGUUUUGGUUAGGGAACGAGAAGAAACGUGGUUAGCCUGUUCUCUACGCUCGGUAGGAAAAAUGAUCUACAAGAGAACUAGCAAAGAAGGAUACCUAAAACACCAACGGUCUACAAGAGAGUGACACCUAACCAUACUUCCAACAUUUUGUAAAAGUAAUCCGUAGUUAAAAUAACGACCACGAACAGACCGACAUUUUAGACGAGUUAUACAUAUAAAAGGAAAGCAGACACAGGGAAAAGGCUAUAUUAUGACUUGGAAAACCUUAUAGAGACAUGUAUUUUUUUAACACAAUACAGACGGCUAACUUUACCUGGAUUUAUACUUAUGCUUGGUCAUUAACAAAACACAAAAAU